This is a long non-coding RNA of Oreochromis niloticus (Nile tilapia), 523 nucleotides long. RefSeq lists it as uncharacterized. The record is from RefSeq and is a predicted model, not a curated record. Lineage: Eukaryota; Metazoa; Chordata; Actinopteri; Cichliformes; Cichlidae. The transcript is spliced from 2 exons.
AGUCCUGUUUAUAUACAGAAAUAUGCUUUAGUUCAUGUUUUUUUACAUGUCUGCCUCAGUGGAUCAGUAGAAGAUCUGGCACAGGAAACUAGAUGAUGAAAAAAGGGGCGGAACUCAUGGUGGGUUCACGCCCUCGGCCCACGCCCCUCUGAAGAGGAAACACCUGGGCCUCAUCAGUGCAGCCAGCAUUUAAGCCAGGGAGUGGCUUCUACUCAUCGCUGGAUCGUUGUGUGUGACUCGCGUCAGUGCUCUGAGCAAGUUCUCUUUUGCUUCCCUGUGCAAAACCUCUAACGUGUGUUUCCUUCUGUACAUAGAUCCCCUGGACCCGACUCUGCAUUCCCCGAGCGGAUUCCCUUUUUGUGUGAGUGUUUGGAGAGAGAGUCAGAAGAGGAGCAAGUGUCUUUCCCCUACCUGGAUUUCCCCGGAGCCUUUUCCCUGUCACCGCUUUGUAUAUAGCACUAUCCCCUGCACUGUUUGUAUAUACACCUGGUGGAACUGUAAUAAAUACUGACUGUGCCUCUGA